ACGGGGUGCAGCAGGCGCGAAACCUUCACAAUGCACGAAAGUGUGAUGAGGGUACUCCGAGUGCGCAUACAUUGUAUGUGCUUUUCUGCAGCGUAAAUAGUUGCAGGAAUAAGGGCUGGGCAAGACCGGUGCCAGCCGCCGCGGUAACACCGGCAGCCCUAGUGGUGGCCGCUUUUAUUGGGCCUAAAGCGUCCGUAGCCGGACAGGCGAGUCUUUGGGUAAAUCCUACGUCUUAAGCGUGGGAAUUCUAAAGAUACUACCUGUCUUGAGGCCGGGAGAGGCUGGAGGUACUCCUGGGGUAGGGGUAAAAUCCUAUAAUCCUGGGGGGACCACCGAUGGCGAAGGCAUCCAGCUGGAACGGGCCUGACGGUGAGGGACGAAACCCAGGGGAGCGAGCCGGAUUAGAUACCCGUGUAGUCC
This 420-nucleotide ribosomal RNA is filed under the name uncultured bacterium. RNAcentral describes it as "bacterial SSU rRNA". It matches the Rfam family "Archaeal small subunit ribosomal RNA", at positions 325 to 747 of the family's 1478-position model. The record is from RNAcentral.